GUUUCAAGUUGACGAAUUGAAUUUGAAUGGAUUUGUAUUCGAAUUAUGAUCUUGACUUAUUGGAGUUACUACUUAAAUUUUUUUUCUUAUCCCAAUCUCUUCUUUGUACAUCUACAAUUUUUGUUAUUUAUAAAAAGAGGAGAUUUGAUAAUAUGGAUGAAUGCUGAAUUUUCCUUUAAGAUGAACUCUGCGUAAAUAUUUUAGCAUACUUAAUUUUGAAUGAUAAAA
Molecule: long non-coding RNA, 228 nt
Filed under: Musa acuminata (dwarf banana)
Lineage: Eukaryota; Viridiplantae; Streptophyta; Magnoliopsida; Zingiberales; Musaceae
Description: long non-coding RNA (MACU_LNC011326)
Source: RNAcentral